RNAcentral lists this ribosomal RNA (629 nucleotides) under Azorhizobium sp. Ma66. RNAcentral's name for it is "bacterial SSU rRNA". It matches the Rfam family "Bacterial small subunit ribosomal RNA", at positions 61 to 738 of the family's 1533-position model. The record is from RNAcentral. Lineage: Bacteria; Pseudomonadati; Pseudomonadota; Alphaproteobacteria; Hyphomicrobiales; Xanthobacteraceae.
GUCGAGCGCCCAGCAAUGGGAGCGGCAGACGGGUGAGUAACACGUGGGGAUGUGCCCAAAGGUACGGAAUAGCUCCGGGAAACUGGAAUUAAUACCGUAUGUGCCCUUCGGGGGAAAGAUUUAUCGCCUUUGGAUCAACCCGCGUCUGAUUAGCUAGUUGGUGAGGUAAAGGCUCACCAAGGCGACGAUCAGUAGCUGGUCUGAGAGGAUGAUCAGCCACACUGGGACUGAGACACGGCCCAGACUCCUACGGGAGGCAGCAGUGGGGAAUAUUGGACAAUGGGCGCAAGCCUGAUCCAGCCAUGCCGCGUGAGUGAUGAAGGCCUUAGGGUUGUAAAGCUCUUUCGCCGGUGAAGAUAAUGACGGUAACCGGAGAAGAAGCCCCGGCUAACUUCGUGCCAGCAGCCGCGGUAAUACGAAGGGGGCAAGCGUUGCUCGGAAUCACUGGGCGUAAAGCGUACGUAGGCGGGUCGUUAAGUCAGGGGUGAAAUCCUGGAGCUCAACUCCAGAACUGCCCUUGAUACUGGCGAUCUUGAGUUCGAGAGAGGUUGGUGGAACUGCGAGUGUAGAGGUGAAAUUCGUAGAUAUUCGCAAGAACACCAGUGGCGAAGGCGGCCAANUGGCUCGAU